GGAAUAUUGGUCAAUGGGCGCAAGCCUGAACCAGCCAUGCCGCGUGAAGGAUGAAGGUUCUAUGGAUUGUAAACUUCUUUUAUUUGGGAAUAAACCUCUUUACGUGUAGAGAGCUGAAGGUACCAAACGAAUAAGCACCGGCUAACUCCGUGCCAGCAGCCGCGGUAAUACGGAGGGUGCAAGCGUUAUCCGGAAUCAUUGGGUUUAAAGGGUCCGCAGGCGGAUGUAUAAGUCAGUGGUGAAAUCUCUCGGCUCAACCGAGAAACUGCCAUUGAUACUGUACGUCUUGAAUUCGGUCGAAGUGGGCGGAAUAUGACAUGUAGCGGUGAAAUGCUUAGAUAUGUCAUAGAACACCGAU
RNAcentral lists this ribosomal RNA (358 nucleotides) under uncultured bacterium. Its description in RNAcentral is "bacterial SSU rRNA". It matches the Rfam family "Bacterial small subunit ribosomal RNA", at positions 358 to 713 of the family's 1533-position model. The record is from RNAcentral.